AACGCUGGCGGCAUGCCUUACACAUGCAAGUCGAACGGCAGCACGGGAGCAAUCCUGGUGGCGAGUGGCGAACGGGUGAGUAAUGUAUCGGAACGUACCUUUCAGUGGGGGAUAACGUAGCGAAAGUUACGCUAAUACCGCAUAUUCUGUGAGCAGGAAAGCAGGGGAUCUUAGGACCUUGCGCUGAUUGAGCGGCCGAUAUCAGAUUAGCUAGUUGGUGAGGUAAAGGCUCACCAAGGCGACGAUCUGUAGCGGGUCUGAGAGGAUGAUCCGCCACACUGGAACUGAGACACGGUCCAGACUCCUACGGGAGGCAGCAGUGGGGAAUUUUGGACAAUGGGCGCAAGCCUGAUCCAGCCAUGCCGCGUGAGUGAAGAAGGCCUUCGGGUUGUAAAGCUCUUUCGGCCGGGAAGAAAUCGCAUGGGUUAAUACCCUGUGCGGAUGACGGUACCGGCAUAAGAAGCACCGGCUAACUACGUGCCAGCAGCCGCGGUAAUACGUAGGGUGCGAGCGUUAAUCGGAAUUACUGGGCGUAAAGCGUGCGCAGGCGGUUUGUUAAGAUAGGCGUGAAAUCCCCGGGCUCAACCUGGGAACUGCGCUUAUGACUGGCAAGCUAGAGUACGGCAGAGGGGGGUGGAAUUCCACGUGUAGCAGUGAAAUGCGUAGAGAUGUGGAGGAACACCAAUGGCGAAGGCAGCCCCCUGGGUCGAUACUGACGCUCAUGCACGAAAGCGUGGGUAGCAAACAGGAUUAGAUACCCUGGUAGUCCACGCCCUAAACGAUGUCAACUAGGUGUUGGGAGGGUAAAACCUUUUAGUACCGGAGCUAACGCGUGAAGUUGGCCCGCCUGGGGAGUACGGC
RNAcentral lists this ribosomal RNA (861 nucleotides) under uncultured bacterium. RNAcentral describes it as "bacterial SSU rRNA". It matches the Rfam family "Bacterial small subunit ribosomal RNA", at positions 32 to 886 of the family's 1533-position model. The record is from RNAcentral.